Long non-coding RNA from Xenopus tropicalis (tropical clawed frog), 2278 nucleotides. RefSeq lists it as uncharacterized. The record is from RefSeq and is a predicted model, not a curated record. Lineage: Eukaryota; Metazoa; Chordata; Amphibia; Anura; Pipidae. The transcript has 2 exons.
UUAGAAGAAAAAACACGCAAGCUCCUGAGCUCCCACCCUCCCUUCCGAAGUCUGCUGCUACCUGACAGCAGGAGACCCAGUAAUCCAAGUUCCCUUUCAUCUGACAUGGAACCCAUGGACUGGAGGAAAGCUGAUAUAAUUCUAAUAUUUAAAAAGAAAUUACAUCUCAUCCUGGCAGUUAUAGGCCUGUAAGUUGGACAUUUGUUGUGUACAAGUUAUUGUGGUGUACAUAGAUUUUUGAAGCACUGCAUGAAUCAUUUGUUUUUAAUCCAAAAUCUUCUUGUAUGCGGGUAGAAAGACUGGCUAAAGGAUUUUGUACAGAAGACAGUGGCAUAACUACCUGGAGGCACUGAACAUGUCUCUGCCGUGGACAACGGCACAAAUUGCCAGGUACAGUGUGCAACUAGGUCAUUAGGUAGAGGUAAGGUGGGGUUGUAUAGUACCUCUCUGUACAAAAUACAUUAAUUUGUCAAUCUCAUCUGCUAUUUCAUUAUGUCCUGGCCCUCUCUAGUAAUACAGUAUAUCUAAGUUAAAAAGAUAUUGGCAGUGUUUUAGCUUCUUAAGUUUUAGCCUUUAUUUCACACAAAAUGGUAAACAUACAUUAAAAAGUGAGUAGAAAGAUGAAUUUUCUUGCUUGGCGAUAGGCUUGCCUGGAUAGUAUUGUCUGUAUACACAGCAGCAGUGAACACAGUAGGUCUUAUUGGCAUUAGUCUGCUAUAGAUUCUCUCACUUUAUGCCAUAACCUGUCACAGUCUUUAGAGGCAAAUAGGUAAGAUCUUUAGGUAAGAGGAUGUUUAAUGUAUACACCCAUUUAUUGUACAACACUGCCAUAUAUGUUAGUGCUUUAUAAAUAUGUGUUAAUAAUUAUAAAAGGGUAUUUGUGGUUUAUCUAAACUGCAGAGAUAACAAUGAAAACAAACUUCUCCAUUUUCCAAGAACUCCUUUCCUAGUCGCUUUCAGUGCAUGCUCUACAAAUUGGCAUAAUGCAAUAUAUGCCAAUAAAACUUACGCUUUAAGUAAAUGACCAGGACCACUGGAUGUUUUGUGCGAACCAAAUAAACUUCUUUAUUAACUCCCAGGCAGUUUUUGUGCCGGCAAUCUCAGUAAUGACACACACUAAUCGCACAUGAAUGAUCAGAGUUAGCAUCCAGUAUCAUAUAACACACCUCUCUGGAUGAUGAGGUGUCACAAAUGCCCAAGUGGCCUUAUCCCCAGUAUAGGCGAUCCACAGGUGGGGUCUUGCUCCCUGGCACACUACCUGCCGCUGAGCUCGCCCACUUGCACCCCUACACUAGCGGUCUAACCACCGCAGGAUGCUAACCCCUCUGACCUCCUCAGUGGGGCAAUCAACUGCCCAGCUAACUUACCUAACAAGUCCAGUUGCUUUAGAUUUAUUUAUACUAGAUAUUCCCCUAAACCUAACUUUCACUCCUAAAGUGACUACUUUAGAAGCUAACCCUCACUCUAACUUGAACUUGCUGUUACCCAGACCUGUAACCACUUCCCAGUGAGGUCCCAGAAAAGACCUUAAGCACAUGUGGGCUUUCCCUUUUAUAAUGAAGUCCCUUGCCACUUCCUGGGCAAUUUUAGAGAUGCAGGGGAGUAAACCAGAGAAGGGAAAUCCAGUUCACACAAACUAGGACUACCUUUCUUUACCAAGUAUACAAUGUUGCAUGGUGCAGCAUUCUUCCAGCAGGUGGUGGGCCGAAAUCUAUCCUCUGCCCCACCCUGUCAUGAAAUUAGUGUGCUCCAAUUUCUCCUCUUUCUGACAUGCAUCACUUAUUUAUAUACUUGUGACCGCACUGCCCCCUUGUGAUGUCAGAAAGGGUUAGGCACAGAUAUAUAUGUAAUGACGCCAUACUGGAUUGAUUUAGAACAGGGUGAAUUAGGGUUGGAAGCAGACUGACUUUUUGUUGACCUGCACAUCACCAAUACACAAGGGAGCACUUCCUAUUAAUUUACUUGUAUUUUAGUGACUGUAUAUUUUCUCCGUUUUACAGACAAUGCAUACUUUUAAAAGAAUUAAAUCUGAAUCAGUCUUUAUGGCUGACGUACAAUGUUUUGUGAUUGUGAUUUCCUGCCGUUUUCAUACAUCCAUGCUGCAUGUUGUGAGAUGUUCUUUAUUAUUAACCUUGUCACCGCUUGCAUAUGUCUUCAUUUAUGUCUUCAUUUCUACAAAAUCUAUAAUAUACCAUAUUAACCUAUUUUAUUCUUUCAUUGUCUACAAGCAAUAGUUACAAACUAGUAACAAAACCUGCAUAAAAUGUGUUUCCAGAAA